Molecule: long non-coding RNA, 146 nt
Organism: Saccostrea cuccullata (small rock oyster)
Lineage: Eukaryota; Metazoa; Mollusca; Bivalvia; Ostreida; Ostreidae
Exons: 2
Source: RefSeq, a predicted model, not a curated record
UCUUGUAGCUGAUAAACACCAUAAGAAUCCAUUAAAUGGAUAAAGAAUUGUGUCGGAGAUUAAGUGCGGUCGGCCAUUUCCAGUGAUGCUGAUGGAUUCUUCUGUACUAAAUAUGUAAUUGUCUUCAAAUAAAUAUUGCAAACUAA